Molecule: ribosomal RNA, 497 nt
Filed under: uncultured bacterium
Lineage: Bacteria
Description: partial 16S ribosomal RNA
Rfam family: Bacterial small subunit ribosomal RNA
Source: RNAcentral
GAUGAACGCUGGCGGCGUGCCUAAUACAUGCAAGUCGAGCGAACGGACGAGAAGCUUGCUUCUCUGAUGUUAGCGGCGGACGGGUGAGUAACACGUGGAUAACCUACCUAUAAGACUGGGAUAACUUCGGGAAACCGGAGCUAAUACCGGAUAAUAUUUUGAACCGCAUGGUUCAAAAGUGAAAGACGGUCUUGCUGUCACUUAUAGAUGGAUCCGCGCUGCAUUAGCUAGUUGGUAAGGUAACGGCUUACCAAGGCAACGAUGCAUAGCCGACCUGAGAGGGGGAGCGGCCAGGCGGGGAUGUAGACACGGACCGGACUCCAGAGGGGGGCAGCAGUAGUGAGUGAGCCGGAAGGGGCGAAUACUGGACAAUGCGAGGCAGCGUGAGUGAUGAAGGUCUCGGGAUCGUUGAAGUCUUUUGUUGUGGAAGAACCUAUGUGUAAGUAAGUAGGCUCUUCGUGACGGUACCUAAAGAGAAAGCCACGGCUAACUACGUG